This 572-nucleotide ribosomal RNA is filed under the name Enterobacter sp. p96_D06. RNAcentral describes it as "bacterial SSU rRNA". It matches the Rfam family "Bacterial small subunit ribosomal RNA", at positions 547 to 1122 of the family's 1533-position model. The record is from RNAcentral. Lineage: Bacteria; Pseudomonadati; Pseudomonadota; Gammaproteobacteria; Enterobacterales; Enterobacteriaceae.
GAUUCUGGGCGUAAGCGCGCGCAGGCGGUCUGUCAAGUCGGAUGUGAAAUCCCCGGGCUCAACCUGGGAACUGCAUUCGAAACUGGCAGGCUAGAGUCUUGUAGAGGGGGGUAGAAUUCCAGGUGUAGCGGUGAAAUGCGUAGAGAUCUGGAGGAAUACCGGUGGCGAAGGCGGCCCCCUGGACUGAGACUGACGCUCAGGUGCGAAAGCGUGGGGAGCAAACAGGAUUAGAUACCCUGGUAGUCCACGCCGUAAACGAUGUCGAUUUGGAGGUUGUGCCCUUGAGGCGUGGCUGCCGGAGCUAACGCGUUAAAUCGACCGCCUGGGGAGUACGGCCGCAAGGUUAAAACUCAAAUGAAUUGACGGGGGCCCGCACAAGCGGUGGAGCAUGUGGUUUAAUUCGAUGCAACGCGAAGAACCUUACCUGGUCUUGACAUCCAGAGAACUUUCCAGAGAUGCAUUGGUGCCUUCGGGAACUGUGACACAGGUGCUGCAUGGCUGUCGUCAGCUCGUGUCGUGAAAUGUUGGGUUAAGUCCCGCAACGAGCGCAACCCUUGUCCUUUGUUGCCAGC